UGGGGAAUAUUGGACAAUGGGCGAAAGCCUGAUCCAGCCAUGCCGCGUGAGUGAUGAAGGCCCUAGGGUUGUAAAGCUCUUUUGUGCGGGAAGAUAAUGACGGUACCGCAAGAAUAAGCCCCGGCUAACUUCGUGCCAGCAGCCGCGGUAAUACGAAGGGGGCUAGCGUUGCUCGGAAUCACUGGGCGUAAAGGGUGCGUAGGCGGGUUUCUAAGUCAGAGGUGAAAGCCUGGAGCUCAACUCCAGAACUGCCUUUGAUACUGGAAGUCUUGAGUUCGGGAGAGGUGAGUGGAACUGCGAGUGUAGAGGUGAAAUUCGUAGAUAUUCGCAAGAACACCAGUGGCGAAGGCGGCUCACUGGCCCGAUACUGACGCUGAGACGCGAAAGCGUGGGGAGCAAACA
This 402-nucleotide ribosomal RNA is filed under the name uncultured bacterium. RNAcentral's name for it is "bacterial SSU rRNA". It matches the Rfam family "Bacterial small subunit ribosomal RNA", at positions 355 to 774 of the family's 1533-position model. The record is from RNAcentral.